Molecule: ribosomal RNA, 253 nt
Filed under: uncultured bacterium
Lineage: Bacteria
Description: partial 16S ribosomal RNA
Rfam family: Bacterial small subunit ribosomal RNA
Source: RNAcentral
UACGGAGGGGGCUAGCGUUGUUCGGAAUUACUGGGCGUAAAGCGCACGUAGGCGGCUUUGUAAGUUAGGGGUGAAAGCCCAGGGCUUAACCCUGGAAUUGCCUUUAAGACUGCAUCGCUAGAAUUGUGGAGAGGUAAGUGGAAUUCCGAGUGUAGAGGUGAAAUUCGUAGAUAUUCGGAAGAACACCAGUGGCGAAGGCGACUUACUGGACACAUAUUGACGCUGAGGUGCGAAAGCGUGGGGAGCAAACAGG